This 497-nucleotide ribosomal RNA is filed under the name uncultured bacterium. RNAcentral describes it as "partial 16S ribosomal RNA". It matches the Rfam family "Bacterial small subunit ribosomal RNA", at positions 28 to 507 of the family's 1533-position model. The record is from RNAcentral.
GAUGAACGCUGGCGGCGUGCCUGAUACAUGCAAGUCGAGCGAACGGACGAGAAGCUUGCUUCUCUGAUGUUAGCGGCGGACGGGUGAGUAACACGUGGAUAACCUACCUAUAAGACUGGGAUAACUUCGGGAAACCGGAGCUAAUACCGGAUAAUAUUUUGAACCUCAUGGUUCAAAAGUGAAAGACGGUCUUGCUGUCACUUAUAGAUGGAUCCGCGCUGCAUUAGCUAGUUGGUAAGGUAACGGCUUACCAAGGCAACGAUGCAUAGCCGACCUGAGAGGGUGAUCGGCCACACUGGAACUGAGACACGGUCCAGACUCCUACGGGAGGCAGCAGUAGGGAAUCUUCCGCAAUGGGCGAAAGCCUGACGGAGCAACGCCGCGUGAGUGAUGAAGGUCUUCGGAUCGUAAAACUCUGUUAUUAGGGAAGAACAUAUGUGUAAGUAACUGUGCACAUCUUGACGGUACCUAAUCAGAAAGCCACGGCUAACUACGUG